RNAcentral lists this ribosomal RNA (253 nucleotides) under uncultured bacterium. Its description in RNAcentral is "partial 16S ribosomal RNA". It matches the Rfam family "Bacterial small subunit ribosomal RNA", at positions 524 to 776 of the family's 1533-position model. The record is from RNAcentral.
UACGUAGGGACCAAGCGUUGUUCGGAUUUACUGGGCGUAAAGGGCGCGUAGGCGGCGUGGUAAGUCACUUGUGAAAUCUCUGAGCUUAACUCAGAACGGUCAAGUGAUACUGCUGUGCUAGAGUGCGGAAGGGGCAAUCGGAAUUCUUGGUGUAGCGGUGAAAUGCGUAGAUAUCAAGAGGAACACCUGAGGUGAAGACGGGUUGCUGGGCCGAUACUGACGCUGAGGAGCGAAAGCGUGGGGAGCGAACAGG